UACGUAGGGGGCAAGCGUUGUCCGGAAUUAUUGGGCGUAAAGGGUGCGUAGGCGGCCUUUUAAGUCAGAUGUGAAAGACCACGGCUUAACCGUGGGGUUGCAUUUGAAACUGGAGGGCUUGAGUAUCGGAGAGGGUAGUGGAAUUCCCAGUGUAGCGGUGGAAUGCGUAGAUAUUGGGAGGAACACCAGUGGCGAAGGCGACUACCUGGACGAAAACUGACGCUGAGGCACGAAAGCUAGGGGAGCAAACAGG
This 253-nucleotide ribosomal RNA is filed under the name uncultured bacterium. RNAcentral's name for it is "partial 16S ribosomal RNA". It matches the Rfam family "Bacterial small subunit ribosomal RNA", at positions 524 to 776 of the family's 1533-position model. The record is from RNAcentral.